UACAGAGGGGGCAAGCGUUGUUCGGAAUUACUGGGCGUAAAGGGCGCGUAGGCGGCCUGCUAAGUCGAACGUGAAAUCCCCGGGCUCAACCCGGGAACUGCGUCCGAUACUGGCAGGCUUGAAUUCGGGAGAGGGAUGUGGAAUUCCAGGUGUAGCGGUGAAAUGCGUAGAUAUCUGGAGGAACACCGGUGGCGAAGGCGGCAUCCUGGACCGGUAUUGACGCUGAGGCGCGAAAGCUAGGGGAGCAAACGGG
This 253-nucleotide ribosomal RNA is filed under the name uncultured bacterium. Its description in RNAcentral is "partial 16S ribosomal RNA". It matches the Rfam family "Bacterial small subunit ribosomal RNA", at positions 524 to 776 of the family's 1533-position model. The record is from RNAcentral.